Molecule: RNA transcript, 1177 nt
Organism: Glycine soja
Lineage: Eukaryota; Viridiplantae; Streptophyta; Magnoliopsida; Fabales; Fabaceae
Gene name: probable protein phosphatase 2C 11
Exons: 4
Source: RefSeq, a predicted model, not a curated record
GGAGGGUAUGUCUCACAAUCCGGCGCUUGCAUACAUCUUCUCAUAGGACGUGGGUUUCACGGUGAUAUUUUUGUAAAUAAUUAUAACUUUUCAAAAACCAUUUUUUGAAAAUCGUCUUUCAGAACGCUUUACUGAGUCGGUUUCUUCAAAAAUCGUAUUUGAAAAGACAUUCUCACUACUUGAAAUGGCGUGUCUCUCUUUCUCACUUUUGAGCUAACACAAAUCAUAUCAUCGUUUCGCAAAGCAAAUCCCUCCCAUAGUGGAAACCCUAAGCCCCAAUCCCGCGAAUGGUUUAGGAAACAAAUGGGGUUAUUGGCUCUGUUGUGAGGUGAAUGGGAAACACACUCGGUUAGGUUUUUUGAUUUGGAGUUUUUAGGAAUUUAGGGUUUGCGUGGUUUGGAUUUUGGGGAUGAAUUAGAGUUUCAGGGCUCAGGAAUCGCAAAUGCUUGAUGCUUUAAAGCAGAGGGAGCAACAAUUUGGGGGUUUGAGGGCUUUUGUGAUGAAGGAGAAGGAGGAGGAACUCGCAUUGUUUCUGGUGAUGAAGAAGCGCGAGAAGGAGCACAAUGACCUUCUUCUUAACAGCUCCGAAGAGUUCUAUGCACCUCUCGAAGGCUGGUGUUGAUGAUAUUCUAAAUUCAAAAAAUGAUAAGAAUGACUAUAACUGGUUGCAAACUUCCUAUUUCCUACUUCUCUUAAAGAUUAUUCUCUGCUUGAGGUUGAGACUUGCUUGAAAGCUCUUGAAGCACUUGAGAUAACAAGGAUGAACUUUCUUGCUCUGGUAAAGCAAUUUCAAAAUUCUGUGCCAAGUAUCCAUACCUACAGCUGCUUAAGAGUGAAACUUACUUAGCUGGAGAUUUAGGCACAUCUUUAUAGAAAUCUUUUCUCAGGUAAUUUUGUUUGUUUUUCUUGAGUUUUCAUAAUCUUACUGGAUGCCAUUAAAAGUCAGGGGAUGGAUGGGAUUAGGGUAGAUGUCCUUCAUUUGUAAAAGCUAAUUUGGCUUGGGCUCAACCCUGUGGUACAUGUUCAACUUUUGCACCAAAUGAUUUACCUUAUUUUUCUACUUUAUAUGCCCCGGGGGAGAUUUGACAUCAUGGUCUCUUCAAGAUAUAAAUAUAGUUGGAAACCAAGAUUCAGGUACUUAUUAACAAUUUAAAAACAUUUUUCUUCUCCUUUCUAA